GGUACUAGGUGUGGGGUCCAUUCCACGGGUUCCGUGCCGUAGCUAACGCUUUAAGUACCCCGCCUGGGGAGUACGGCCGCAAGGCUAAAACUCAAAGGAAUUGACGGGGCCCCGCACAAGCGGCGGAGCAUGCGGAUUAAUUCGAUGCAACGCGUAGAACCUUACCUGGGUUUGACAUGGAUCGGGAGUGCUCAGAGAUGGGUGUGCCUCUUUUGGGGUCGGUUCACAGGUGGUGCAUGGCUGUCGUCAG
Molecule: ribosomal RNA, 250 nt
Filed under: uncultured bacterium
Lineage: Bacteria
Description: partial 16S ribosomal RNA
Rfam family: Bacterial small subunit ribosomal RNA
Source: RNAcentral